UGGGGAAUCUUGGACAAUGGGGGCAACCCUGAUCCAGCGAUGCCGCGUGGGUGAAGAAGGCCUUCGGGUUGUAAAGCCCUUUAGGUUGGGAAGAAGGUUGUUAACGGAUAAUGUUAGCAGCUUGACGGUACUAACAGAAUAAGCACCGGCAAACUCUGUGCCAGCAGCCGCGGUAAUACAGAGGGUGCAAGCGUUAAUCGGAGUUACUGGGCGUAAAGGGCGCGUAGGCGGUUUAAUGGGUGUGAUGUGAAAGCCUUGGGCUUAACCUGAGAAGUGCAUCGCAAACUAAUAGACUGGAGUAUAUGAGAGGGUGGCGGAAUUUCCGGUGUAGCGGUGAAAUGCGUAGAGAUCGGAAGGAACGUCAAUGGCGAAGGCAGCCACCUGGCAUAAUACUGACGCUGAGGCGCGAAAGCGUGGGGAGCGAACAGG
This 429-nucleotide ribosomal RNA is filed under the name uncultured bacterium. Its description in RNAcentral is "bacterial SSU rRNA". It matches the Rfam family "Bacterial small subunit ribosomal RNA", at positions 355 to 776 of the family's 1533-position model. The record is from RNAcentral.